RNAcentral lists this ribosomal RNA (402 nucleotides) under uncultured bacterium. RNAcentral describes it as "bacterial SSU rRNA". It matches the Rfam family "Bacterial small subunit ribosomal RNA", at positions 27 to 418 of the family's 1533-position model. The record is from RNAcentral.
GAUGAAACGCUGGCGGCGUGCUUAACACAUGCAAGUCGAACGGAACGCCAAGGAAAGAGUUUUCGGACAAUGGAAUUGGUUGUUUAGUGGCGGACGGGUGAGUAACGCGUGAGUAACCUGCCUUGGAGUGGGGAAUAACACAGUGAAAUUGUGCUAAUACCGCAUGAUAUAUUGGUGUCGCAUGGCACUGAUAUCAAAGAUUUAUCGCUCUGAGAUGGACUCGCGUCUGAUUAGAUAGUUGGCGGGUAACGGCCACUAAGUCGACGAUCAGUAGCCGGACUGAGAGGUUGGCGGCACAUUGGGACUGAGACACGGCCAGACUCCUACGGGAGCAGCAGUGGGAAUAUGGGCAAAUGGGCGCAAGCCUGACCCAGCAAACGCCGCGUGAAGGAAGAAGGCUUU